GUGAAUCAUCGAAUCUUUGAACGCACAUUGCGCCCCUUGGUAUUCCAUGGGGCAUGCCUGUUCGAGCGUCAUUUGUACCCUCAAGCUCUGCUUGGUGUUGGGCGUUUGUCUUGUAGACUCGCCUUGAAUAUAUUGGCAGUCCACCGCAUGUCGUGGAGCGCAGCACAAUGGCGCUUUCGUCUUGAGGAUGGCCGCCAUCAAGCUUCUAUCGUUUGACCUCGGAUCAGGUAGGGAUACCCGCUGAACUUAAGCAUAUCAAUAAGCGGAGGA
RNAcentral lists this unclassified non-coding RNA (270 nucleotides) under Foliophoma sp. Its description in RNAcentral is "partial contains 5.8S ribosomal RNA, internal transcribed spacer 2, and large subunit ribosomal RNA". The stretch from base 1 to 71 matches the Rfam family "5.8S ribosomal RNA", at positions 84 to 154 of the family's 154-position model. Lineage: Eukaryota; Fungi; Ascomycota; Dothideomycetes; Pleosporales. The record is from RNAcentral.